UACGUAGGGUGCAAGCGUUGUCCGGAAUUAUUGGGCGUAAAGAGCUCGUAGGCGGUCUGUCACGUCGGCUGUGAAAACCUGGGGCUCAACCCCCGGGCCUGCAGCCGAUACGGGCAGACUAGAAUUCGGUAGGGGAGACUGGAAUUCCUGGUGUAGCGGUGAAAUGCGCAGAUAUCAGGAGGAACACCGGUGGCGAAGGCGGGUCUCUGGGCCGAUAUUGACGCUGAGGAGCGAAAGCGUGGGGAGCGAACAGG
This 254-nucleotide ribosomal RNA is filed under the name uncultured bacterium. RNAcentral's name for it is "partial 16S ribosomal RNA". It matches the Rfam family "Bacterial small subunit ribosomal RNA", at positions 524 to 776 of the family's 1533-position model. The record is from RNAcentral.